This 249-nucleotide long non-coding RNA is filed under the name Elaeis guineensis (African oil palm). RNAcentral's name for it is "long non-coding RNA (EGUI_LNC058813)". The record is from RNAcentral. Lineage: Eukaryota; Viridiplantae; Streptophyta; Magnoliopsida; Arecales; Arecaceae.
AUGCUUUCCUUUUUUCUUCCUCUCUUUCUUUCUAUUUUCUUUCUCUCUUUUCCUUAUCUUUAUCUCAAAUUUUUUCUCUCUUUUUCUCCUCAUUCUCACACCUAUCUACAGCCCAAAUUGGAUGUGGAACCUGGGUGUAGCGCCCCCCUUUCAUAGGAAAGAUGGGGCGACUCCAUGGGAUGCCAACUCUUGGCAUCCCUUAACUCUUACACGAUAACAUUAAAUUUUUUUGUGAAAUCCAAAGGAUAU